GACGAACGCUGGCGGCGUGCUUAACACAUGCAAGUCGAACGCUGAAGCUUGGUGCUUGCACUGGGUGGAUGAGUGGCGAACGGGUGAGUAAUACGUGAGUAACCUGCCCUUGACUCUGGGAUAAGCCUGGGAAACUGGGUCUAAUACUGGAUACGACAUGCCACUGCAUGGUGGUGUGUGGAAAGGGUUUUCCUGGUUUUGGAUGGGCUCACGGCCUAUCAGCUUGUUGGUGGGGUAAUGGCCUACCAAGGCGACGACGGGUAGCCGGCCUGAGAGGGUGACCGGCCACACUGGGACUGAGACACGGCCCAGACUCCUACGGGAGGCAGCAGUGGGGAAUAUUGCACAAUGGGCGGAAGCCUGAUGCAGCGACGCCGCGUGAGGGAUGACGGCCUUCGGGUUGUAAACCUCUUUCAGCACGGAAGAAGCGAGAGUGACGGUACGUGCAGAAGAAGCGCCGGCUAACUACGUG
RNAcentral lists this ribosomal RNA (472 nucleotides) under uncultured bacterium. RNAcentral describes it as "partial 16S ribosomal RNA". It matches the Rfam family "Bacterial small subunit ribosomal RNA", at positions 28 to 507 of the family's 1533-position model. The record is from RNAcentral.